Molecule: ribosomal RNA, 1374 nt
Filed under: uncultured Pelagibacterales bacterium
Lineage: Bacteria; Pseudomonadati; Pseudomonadota; Alphaproteobacteria; Candidatus Pelagibacterales
Description: bacterial SSU rRNA
Rfam family: Bacterial small subunit ribosomal RNA
Source: RNAcentral
CGCCUAACACAUGCAAGUCGAACGAAGUAGCAAUACUUAGUGGCAGACGGGUGAGUAACAUGUGGGUAUCUGCCCUUUGGCCUGGAAUAACACGAGGAAACUUGUGCUAAUACCGGAUAAGUCUUUACGGAGAAAGCUUUAUGCACCAAUGGAUGAGCCCGCACUUGAUUAGUUUGUUGGUGGGGUAAUGGCCUACCAAGACUGUGAUCAAUAGCUGAUUUGAGAGGAUGAUCAGCCACAUUGGGACUGAGACACGGCCCAAACUCCUACGGGAGGCAGCAGUGGGGAAUCUUGCACAAUGGAGGAAACUCUGAUGCAGCGAUGCCGCGUGAGUGAAGAAGGCCUUUGGGUUGUAAAGCUCUUUCGUCGGGGAAGAAAAUGACUGUACCCGAAUAAGAAGGUCCGGCUAACUUCGUGCCAGCAGCCGCGGUAAUACGAAGGGACCUAGCGUAGUUCGGAAUUACUGGGCUUAAAGAGUUCGUAGGUGGUUGAAAAAGUUGGUGGUGAAAUCCCAGAGCUUAACUCUGGAACUGCCAUCAAAACUUUUCAGCUAGAGUUUGAUAGAGGAAAGCAGAAUUUCUAGUGUAGAGGUGAAAUUCGUAGAUAUUAGAAAGAAUACCAAUUGCGAAGGCAGCUUUCUGGAUCAUUACUGACACUGAGGAACGAAAGCAUGGGUAGCGAAGAGGAUUAGAUACCCUCGUAGUCCAUGCCGUAAACGAUGUGUGUUAGACGUUGGAAAUUUAUUUUCAGUGUCGCAGCGAAAGCGAUAAACACACCGCCUGGGGAGUACGACCGCAAGGUUAAAACUCAAAUGAAUUGACGGGGACCCGCACAAGUAGUGGAGCAUGUGGUUUAAUUCGAAGAUACGCGCAGAACCUUACCAACACUUGACAUGUUCGUCGCGACUUUAAGAGAUUAAAGUUUUCGGUUCGGCCGGACGAAACACAGGUGCUGCAUGGCUGUCGUCAGCUCGUGUCGUGAGAUGUUGGGUUAAGUCCCGCAACGAGCGCAACCCUCACUUUUAGUUGCCAUCAUUAAGUUGGGCACUCUGAAAGAACUGCCAGUGAUAAGCUGGAGGAAGGUGGGGAUGACGUCAAGUCCUCAUGGCCCUUACGUGUUGGGCUACACACGUGCUACAAUGGUAUCUACAACAGGAAGCAAGACGGCGACGUUAAGCAAAUCCUUAAAAGAUACCUCAGUUCGGAUUGCACUCUGCAACUCGAGUGCAUGAAGCUGGAAUUACUAGUAAUCGUGGAUCAGCGUGCCACGGUGAAUGCGUUCCCGGGUCUUGUACACACCGCCCGUCACACCAUGGGAGUUGGUUCUACCUUAAGGCAAGGUUUUAAACCCUUGACCACGGUAUAGUCAGCGACU